CCUACGGGGUGCAGCAGUGGGGAAUAUUGCUCAAUGGGGGAAACCCUGAUGCAGCAACGCCGCGUGCGUGAGGACGGCUUUCGGUAUGUAAAGCUCUAUCAGCAGGGAAUAGAAAAGAAGGUAGUUGAAAAAGAAGCACCGGCUAACUACGUGCCAGCAGCCGCGGUAAUACGGAGGGGGCAAGCGUUAUCCGGAUUUACUGGGUGUAAAGGGAGCGUAGACGGAAGCACAAGCCAGGAGUGAAAGCACGGGGCGUAACUCGGGAACUGCUCUUGAGACUGCGGGGCUGGAGUGCAGGAGGGGCAGGCGGAAUUCCUGGUGUAGCGGUGAAAUGCGUAGAGAUCAGGAGGAACACCGGUGGCGAAGGCAGCCUACUGGACUGCGACUGACGUUGAGGCCCGAAAGCGUGGGGAGCAAACAGGAUUAGAUACCCUAGUAGUC
This 441-nucleotide ribosomal RNA is filed under the name uncultured bacterium. RNAcentral describes it as "partial 16S ribosomal RNA". It matches the Rfam family "Bacterial small subunit ribosomal RNA", at positions 338 to 795 of the family's 1533-position model. The record is from RNAcentral.